GAUGAACGCUGGCGGCGUGCCUAAUACAUGCAAGUCGAGCGAACAGACGAGGAGCUUGCUCCUCUGACGUUAGCGGCGGACGGGUGAGUAACACGUGGAUAACCUACCUAUAAGACUGGGAUAACUUCGGGAAACCGGAGCUAAUACCGGAUAAUAUAUUGAACCGCAUGGUUCAAUAGUGAAAGACGGUUUUGCUGUCACUUAUAGAUGGAUCCGCGCCGCAUUAGCUAGUUGGUAAGGUAACGGCUUACCAAGGCAACGAGGCGUAGCCGACCUGAGGGGGUGAUCGGCCACACUGGAACUUAGACACGGUCCAGACGCCUACGGGAGGCAGCAGUAGGGAAUCUUCCGCAAUGGGCGAAAGCUUGACGGAGCAACGCCGCGUGAGUGAUGAAGGUCUUCGGAUCGUAAAACUCUGUUAUUAGGGAAGAACAAAUGUGUAAGUAACUAUGCACGUCUUGACGGUACCUAAUCAGAAAGCCACGGCUAACUACGUG
This 497-nucleotide ribosomal RNA is filed under the name uncultured bacterium. RNAcentral describes it as "partial 16S ribosomal RNA". It matches the Rfam family "Bacterial small subunit ribosomal RNA", at positions 28 to 507 of the family's 1533-position model. The record is from RNAcentral.